Ipomoea nil (Japanese morning glory) is the source of this 737-nucleotide long non-coding RNA. RefSeq lists it as uncharacterized. The transcript has 2 exons. The record is from RefSeq and is a predicted model, not a curated record. NCBI's taxonomy places the organism in Eukaryota, Viridiplantae, Streptophyta, Magnoliopsida, Solanales, Convolvulaceae.
UUUUAAACGGGCUACGAGUACGGAAGAUGUCGGCUUUGCACAGUGGAGUGAGUUGGAGUAGAUGAAACGACGGCAACAACGCAUAACUUCGACCAGCGGCUUCAACCCCGGAAACAAUGGCGGACGGAACACCCAGACGGAGUACCCAGCGUGCGUCGAUCGAUGCAACGAGUAGACUGCUUCGGGUGCUUCCUAGACGAUAAUAAGGACCAUAAAAGGGCGGCUGAAAUACUAGAAAUGGAACCAAAGAGAAUGCAAAUGCCUUGGAGGGAUGCAACAGAAAACCCAGACAGUGGAGUAUAUACAAUGAAGCACAUGGAAUGCUUCAUUGGGGAGAAAGCGAGGAAUUGGGAAUGCGGGUUGACCAAGGGAGACAAGACCACAAUAGAAACAUUACGAGCGAAGUACAUGAAGGAUAUCCUACUCAGCGAAUGUAAUGAGCAACACAGCAAAAACUUUCAAAGCUCACCACUGUUCGGCCAGGGUGUGUUCACGCAAUUCCGUUAAGCAGUAAGAUGUGUGUUUGGGCAUUUAUUUUUUGACUACUUUAAAAGACAUGACUAAGGACAACAAUCAAAUGUUUAGAAGUUGAAAAAAGUUUAUUACGAGGGACAAUUUGUUUUUGGUACACUUGUGCGAAAUGCAUAAGCAUGGUUUAUAGUUAAUAGACUGAGACGUAAAAGAUGAACCACUAUGUGCAUCAGCUGUAAAUGCAUAACCCUUGAUGAAUUUAUGUA